This is a long non-coding RNA of Manis pentadactyla (Chinese pangolin), 3857 nucleotides long. RefSeq lists it as uncharacterized. Lineage: Eukaryota; Metazoa; Chordata; Mammalia; Pholidota; Manidae. The record is from RefSeq and is a predicted model, not a curated record. The transcript has 4 exons.
UGCAGGCGCGAGGAGGUGACAGAUGAGUCGCCAAGGUGGUGGCCGCCCCAACUGGGUUGAACAGGACUGAUUUUCUUCACUGUAGUAAGAUGGACAUUUCAGCAGCCCAAAGGCGAAGCUCGGCCGAAAGAGUGAUACUAUCCCUAAAUUCCUGCUAACUGAAGGAAGACGGAAUGAAAAUAAUGAGCAAAGGGGAUAAAAGAGGAAAGAAGCUCCACUGAUUCCAGGCAGGAGAAAUGGCCUCACAGACCAGCCCCAGCCUGCAGAAAUGUCUGAGUCACUCUCCUUGGAAGUUCUCCGCCUAACCAACUCAGGGCCAUGACUUAAACUACAAUGAGCAUGACCUCCGGACAUUAACAAGAGAAGCUUGCCUUGGGAGAUGCCUCCGAACCUUCACAAAGAAUUGUUCUCUGCAGCAAUGCUGUUUUCAUGCACACCAGCCAAAGGCCCUGGGACACACUCUGCCAUUGAUUGGGUGAUAACAAAGCCUGUUCAACACAUAAGUGUGUGUACCAGUGCUUUCUCUGCACUCUAUAUUUAAUCACAGGUUUUCCAUGAAGCUUAUAAUGGAAUUAAAGAAAUCAUAAAGUCUUGUAUCUGGAAGGGACCUUGAGUGACUCCCAUUAUGGGCAAGGAAAAGUAAGCUAAGCAGAGAGGGUGAUGACUCCUUUAUCCUGCCUUCAUGUGCCAACAGCUCUUCCAUGAAGCACCACCCCCACCAUGGUGAGGACCUCCUCUGGAAGCUAAAGAUGGCAUUGCCAUCCUUCCCCUACUCAGUUUAAAGGACUGAGUAUCUCCAGCUAUUUGACUGGAGAGGCUGGACAUCAGCCUCCCCUCUCUGAAGCUCCUGAAGACAAGUGGAGUGUUUCCUGGCAAACUGUUCAACAUUCUGCUACAACAGAGUAAUCUGGAUGCCCCAUUGCUCAUAUUGGUAAAAACCUCAGCCAUAAGUGUCUGUACUUAUUCAGAUACUGCUUUGAGUUUGUCUUCUCUUAAGUGCGGCAUGCUACUUGGACAGGGACCUCUAGGCACCCUUCCUGAUUCCCAGGACAGCCCUGGGCACAGGACUUAGAAGUUGGAGCAAAUGCGGAAUGAAAACAAUGUACACAAUCUGUCCCAUCGCACUUCAUGGUCAAUUUGCUGAAAUAGUAUCUGUUUAGAUGUCUAAUAACCACUGCUCUGUUAUUUGUAGAAAGCUGUGUUUUGUUUUCUAAUUAUGUCUUAAGUCAGUCUCUUAUCUGUGCCUUAAUAUCUCUAUAAAAAUGUAUCAAUUUCUCCCUCAUUUAUUAUACCCCAGGGACCCUGAAGGUUUGAAAAGGUGAUUACUAUAGUGUAUUUUUUUAAAAUACAAGUUGCUGUUACCAUGCCUACAAAUCAUAUCCUGGAAAGGGAAAUACAUGUGCUGCUCAGGGUAAGACAGUAAGGGGAGUCCACCAGUGAUCGGGGAAGGGGAGCUCUCAGAAUCCUGAUUUUUUUGGCAGAAAAGAGGUUGUAACUAGCAACGUAAUUCCAACACAAGGUGCCCUUGGGACAUCAGGUAGAAUAACCCAAAAUUAGGUUUCAAAAUGAGAAUUGCAUUUUUUCUAGCGAGACAGCAUAGCUGAUACUGAAUGUUAUUUACAGAUUUGACUUCAGUAGUUUUAAACCAUUUUUCUUGUUUCCGAUAAAUCACGUCAUAGAUAUAGCUACAUAUUAUUCCUUCUUUGUUUUAGAACUAAAUUACCUUUUAAAUAAGGAGGGGAAUGAAUUAUGUUAGUAAAGUCCUCAAAUUGCUUUGCACAACAUCAAUUCAGAGAAACACUUUCCUCCUUCAUAGGGUAAUGGCCCAAGUCGAAAGUAAUAAAAUCAAUAACCAGAUUUGUUGAACAUGUACUAUGUGGGAAUGUAUGCUAAUCACUGCAGGGGAAGCAAAAUUCACUAGGAAUUUCCUUCUGAAAAUGUGCCACCCAAGGGGGGAACAAAGACAUGGAAAUGAACUACAAUACAAGGUGGUGAAUGGUGAGCAGCUGAAGCUACAUGAGCUACAGGAGUCCACAGGAGAGCUCGCUUCUGUCAGGAGUGUGCACAGAGGGGCAGGUUGUUGAGCUGGGCACUGAGGGAAGGAGGCUUGAGCAAGGGGACAUGUGUACAAGGACAUGAAGGUGAGCAGAACAGGGCAGUCCUGCAUAGAGGGAAAGUAAGUUUAAAUCCUGAACUGAUGAGCUGUGUGAUCUUGGGUAAGUUGCUUGAUCUCUCUGAGCUUCCAUUUUCUCACUAUAAAAGGCAGAUAUUAGAGGAACUUAGUUCACAGGAUUGUAGUGAAGAGUAGAGGAGAUAGUGCAAGCAAAGCACUUAGCAGAAUCCCACUUAGAACAAAGAAUAAACCCUCAGUAUAUGAACUAUUGUUAUACAUUCAAAGUUAUAAAAGAGUCCAAGCAACCCUCAGGUUGAACUCUAUGCUGGAACCAAGAUCAGUGAUGUAGGGACCUUGUUUUGCAAUAGCAACUUACAGCCAGAGAGGAAAUGGGUCACGGACUCCACAGCGCCUGUCUUGAACAGGAACAUGGGAGUAACACAGGAAAAUGGGGUCUCAGUCAAGCCCAUCAGACUCUUCCCAUGCACUGGGGCCCACCUAGUGGUGACAACCAUACAUGGAGUCAACUCCCCCUGCUCAGCUCCUAAACCACUUACACCCUUUUUAAAACCUCAUAAAAGAAAUGUCAGAAGGAAGUCAAUCCAGGGAAAUACUUGAGGAUGGUCCCUGUGAUCCUUGCCCCCAAGAAACCAGCCCAGGAAACCGGAGUUACUAAAGGCAGAGACAACCAAGAGAGAUUGCUGGAAGGCCAGGGAGCAUGGAGAGAUUUGAAGCACACCUCCUGCCCAACCCCAGCUUCUCAGAUGACCCAGCGAUGCAGGAACAAUAUUUACUGGAGCCCAGCUAUCAGGGUCUCCAGAUGCCUCAUCCCAGAACCUGUGCAGGCGGAGGGGUUCCUCUGUUCCUGGGGCAACAGGCAAACUGCGGACACAGUCAACUGUCCCUUCCAAGUCCCAGGAAGACUCUCAGAGCCCAUGUGGGCACACCGGCUAAAGGCACUUAGAAACAAGCAAGCCGCCAGAGUAGCCACCUGUCAUCCAGGGCUGAGACCCACAAUGAGGAUGGUCCAGCAGAAAGGUACAAAAAUGGAACCAGGAAGUUCAGGAUGGCACAGGAGGGGCUGAGCUGGCUGGCUGAGGCCCAAGUAUGGUGGCAUUUUCUUCUCCGAUAGUGAAGAGAGAAUGACAUUGUAUGAAGGACAUGGUAACACUUAACAACAAAGGCUAUCAAGAGCUAUGGCUUGGUUUUUAGGAGGCUUGAAUUUACCUUUCUUUGCAUCAUUUUGAUUAUGCUUCAACUGGAAUUACACAGUAUUGUCUUUAAAAGCCCGCAUUUUAAUUAGAAAUGAUAACUUUCAAGAAGAAUGGUAAAAACGGCCACUAAGAAAAUCAGUUAAAGUAGCAAAAUGACUUGUGGUGAAUACAUUUGACAAACAGGAAUGAUGGUAAAAGGUAGUUGAGUAUAUAAAUCACUAAACUGCAUGAAAUUUUAUGAUCAAAAGAGAAUGUACCCAAGGAUAAUUCCUGCACAUCCCUUUCUCUGUCAUCUUCUCUUCCCAGAGGUGUAGCCUGUCCAAAAGAGCAUCUGAGCUUCAAGCAGGUGCUCCCUGGAGCAACAGGCUGCCCUCCGGGGCUGGGUGGGAUCAAGUGCUCCCCAGGGCUGCAGACUGACCACACAAAAACCAAAAGUUGAACCAGGUGCUUCCCUCAGGGUCUUUACUUCUGCUACUAGAUUCUAAAGCCACACAAUUCGCAUAGUGCUUCAAGCACCAUAGCCCUGUAAU